ACAGUACGCGCCGGCACGACGUUUUCAGGUUUGAUUGAGCAGUGCGGCAUCAUCGUUUUUUUUCAUUUCUCCUCCCAAUCCCCCCUCCCUUUCUUUCGCCUUCAAGUAAAUGUGCCGUGCGUCUCUCAUAUAAUAUCCAUUCUAUCAAAACCCGCGUUUUAACUUUUCUCCCUACUUCUCUGUGCGAGAGCGGGGAAAGGAAACCGAAUUCGGGAUUGAUCGAUUGCUCCUUUCCUCUCCCCUUCUCCCCCCCUCCUCCAUGAGGCGGUUGGGUACAACCUAACUCGCUACCGCCUCCUGAACCCGCGCACCUCCCCCUUCUGAUUGGCCCGCGCCGCGGGGAGCUGGUCGGUGAUUGGAAAACAGUUCUGUCGAUCACACACUGGACGGGGUUUGGUCGCACGGUGCGGUGCGGCCUGGGUUUUGCUCCGGUUUGUUGUCAUGUUCGCUGGUGGAUUUCCACUAAGGGCUCUGACAUUCUGAUGGUGCAGCAGCGACCGGGCCGUUCACCUUAGGAAGAUGAUCAUAGAGAAUCUGGACGCUUUCAGAUCUUGGUUAUCAAGGGCCCUGGAUCCUAUCUGUGAUGCUGACCCAUCAGCUUUGGCUAAAUAUGUAGUGGCUUUAGUUAAGAAAGACAAGCCAGAAAAAGAACUGAAGGCCUUGUGUGUUGAUCAACUGGACGUAUUUCUGCAAAAAGAAACUGUUGGAUUUGUGGACAAACUUUUUGAUGCUUUAAGCACUAAGAACUACGUGCCACGACCAGAACAGCUUGUCCAGGCGACAAUAAAGCAGGACAUGCAACCUACAUGGCAAGAGAGAGAGGACAAGAAAGAAGUUCCUUUAUAUGAUGAAGAACAAGAUGGCAGAAAAUCUUUGCUAAAGAAAGGUCACAGUCCUUUCAAACCAGUCCUGGGGCCUAUAGAGACCAGAACUCGUGAUGAGAAAAAACGUGAAGAACGACGACGUAGGGACUUUGAAAGAUAUCCUCAUCCUCACCCUCACCCCAGAGAUCUUUAUCGAGAGCGGUAUGAUCGCCGUAGGGGCAGGAGCUAUAGCCAUAGUCCAACAAAGAGUGCAAGUCGAAGUCGCAGUCGCAGUCGAGACAGGACUCGAGAUCUUGGGCGCAGCAACAGCACAAGUAGAGAGCAACAUAAAGACAGAUCCAAGUUUGAGUUGGAAAGAAAUGAGGGCUCGGAGAACAUAUAUAUUCCAAGUUGCACGUCAUCGAACAGUUCAACUGAACAAUAUUUUUCUGGAGCACACGCUGCUCCUAGUGCAGUAACUGUGGUAGCUCCUGCCCACCAUCCUGACAACACUACAGAGAGCUGGUCUAAUUUCUAUAACAAUCACACGGGCACAAAUUCCUUUGGUAGAAAUGCAGCCCCAAAACGACGAUGCAGAGACUAUGAUGAGAAAGGCUUCUGCAUGCGUGGUGACCUCUGCCUUUUUGACCAUGGGAACGAUCCACUAAUAGUGGAAGAUGUGACUCUUCCUGGAAUGAUUCCUUUUCCGCCGCCACCUCCAGGCUUACCUCCCCCAGCUCAUCAGUUGCCUCCACCAGGGCAUCACUUACCUCCACCCUUACCAGGUCUCCCUCCUAAUUUGAGGUUACCCCCAUUACCGCCACCUGGACAGCCACCACCGCCUGGCAUCCAUCCUGUAUCUGGACCACAUCCAAUCCCAAAAAGUGGUGUAGACAGCAUUGAAGUUUCUGGGACCAGUACAGUACCUACCUUGCCACCUCCAGGAUUGAGGCCACCACCUUUACCUCAGUAUCCACCAUAUGUGACUUCAGAAUAUAACUAUGAGCCUGACGGCUAUAACCCUGAAGCUCCCAGUAUUACUGGCGGUGCCAGGCCUCCAUAUCGACACUACAUCCCACGAAUUCAGACUGAGCGCCCAAAUCUGAUUGGCUUAACGUCCAGCACCAUGGAUGGCCCGUCUCGAGUGCCUGUGAAGAUAAACCAAGCUGAGAUAGCUCUAGCUGCUACAACAAGCAACAAUGUUUCACGUGUAGUUAUUGAACCAGAAUCUAGAAAAAGGACUGUUGUAACUGUGGAUGGACCACCUUCAAAAAAACCAUGGAUGGAAAACAGGCAAAACUUCAAUCAUCAAAACAAGCAAGGAUUUCAGAAGAAGACUCAACACACCUAUGAUAACACAAAGCUAGAGGUCCGCAAAAUCCCAAGGGAAAUGAAUACCAUUACCCAGCUCAAUGAACAUUUCAGUAAAUUUGGUACUAUUGUCAAUAUUCAGGUUGCAUUUAGUGGUGAUCCUGAAGCAGCUCUUAUUCAGUACUCUCAGAAUGAGGAAGCAAAACGGGCUAUUUCCAGUACUGCAGCAGUACUGAACAACAGGUUUAUUAGAGUAUACUGGCACAGAGAGAACAAUGGAGUUCAGCAGCAAUCACAUCAGCAAGUACAGGCACAACAGUUAGCGGUGUCACAACAUAGCACUGUUCAUAAGAUAUUAAACCGAAACCAAAGCCCAGGAUCUUUUGUACUAACAAAUGCAACAGUAAAGCAACGACUUGGCUCCCUGGUUGGAAAUCCGUCUGAUGGAACACAAACCUGUUCUAGCCAGCUUGGGGCUGGCGGAGAAGCUUCACAGGGACCUCCUACCUCCACAAGCCUGGUAAAGCCAGGGUAUAGUACUGCAGUCACAAAGACAAAUCAUAAAUCUCCUGUUACAUCCAGUAAAGCACUUGAAGCAAAAGAAGCGCUCAAGAAAAAACAGGAAGCUUUAAAGUUACAGCAAGAUAUGCGGAAAAAGAAACAAGAGAUGUUAGAAAAACAAAUUGAGUGCCAGAAGGUAUUAAUUUGCAAACUGGAAAAAAAUAAAAGUAUGAAAGCAGAUGAAAGAGCUAAAAUAAUGAAAACCAUUAAAGACUUGACGGAAAGAAUAUCUCAAUUACGUGAUGAACUGAAAGCAACAUCAGCAUCAACGUCAUCGGCUCCAUCACAACUGAAAUCCAAAUCUGAUGCACAGAAGGAAUUACUGGAUGCAGAGCUGGAUUUCCACAAGAAGCUUAAUUCAGGGGAGGACACAACAGACUUGCGAAAAAAGCUGAAUCAGCUCCAAGUGGAGGCUGCAAGACUGGGCAUCCUCCCUGGAGGACGUGGUAAGACUAUGCAAACACGAGGCCGAGGUCGAGGCAGGAGUGUGAGGGGAAGAGGCGCACAGAUGCACAUGGUGGUUGAUCACAGGCCCAAAACUUUAACGGUAUUCGGCUUCACACAGGAGGAAAAAGAUGAAUUAAUGCCACAUUUCUCAAAGUUUGGAGAAGUGGAAGAUUUUCAAGAAGAUACUCCUUUAAAUGUUAGAGUUGCAUUCAAAUCAAGAAUUGAAGCAGAAAAUGCUGCCAAUCAGGGUGCAAAGUUCAAAGGCAGAAAUCUUCAGAUCUCCUGGUACAAACCAAAAGCACCUUCAGUAUCAACAGAACCGGAGGAGGAGGAUACAAAAGAAGAGGCAUCAGAACCUGUGGAUCCUUUCUUUCGUGAAGAUGACGAUGAUGAAGAUGAUGAUGAUGAAUCUCGCUCCUGGAGACGAUGAUGGGAUUUAGAACACUCACUCUAUCGUCAUGAACUUUUGUGCAUUUUUUUGUGUUUAAAUAUAUUUACUAAUUUUACAGAAACAUUUUUAUUGUAUUUAAAGAAAAAAAUGGGUUUGCAACAUUUUUGUGAAAAUGACAAAAAGCUUAGUAUUUUGCUUUCAAUGCUUUUAGGAUACAUACCCCAAAGGAGGAAAAUCACAGAAUGUGUCAGGAAAUAAAAUGGGAGAUAAGGAAUAACUAGAUGUACAUUCUGCUUGUAGCAGAGGUUCUUGUAUGAAUGUAUAUUAAAAUUGUGUAUAUACUUAGCCUUUUUUUGAUGAAAAGAAAGAGCAUUUAAGCUUGUAAGUAAAUUUUUGAUAGUCUUUGUUUCCUCCUUUCAAAAAAAGAUUAAGUCACCAGAAUACAUCUUGCAAGGAAAGUGAGCUUGUAGCAGGUAUUGAGUUCUACAUUUUAAAAGAAGCAACUGGUUGGAAAGGCAGUGGAGUGGUUGCUAUAUUAUUUGGGGAAUUCAAAGAACUUUCAUGUUUCUCCUCAGCAAUUUUGAUGGGCCAGAUAGUGACUUUUUGGUAAACAUAUGAAAAAAAAUGCUGUAGAACCAAGAGGACCACUGUUAACCGAUAGGAAAUUUAAUUUGAUUGAAUAUAGUAAUCCUUGAUGAGACAUAUAAAUGGUAAUUGUUUACAAAAGUUGAAUGCAUUUAAAGCUGCAGUGUCCAACUAAUCAAAAUUUCAAUACUAGACUAAAUUUAUUAAUUUACUAUUUAUUGAAACCAUUUUUUGUUUAAAAUUGCGAUUUAUAUGCAUAUUCAUUGCUUGAGUUUUCUAUGGUUCCCGUUGACUGUUAUUGAUCCAUUUUUUACAUUUAAUCCUCACUGCUGUCAUCUUAUGACAGUUGAAGUAUUAAAAUGCUAAUGAAUACAUCACGUUUGAUAUCCCACUGAUGUGCUGGUUAGGGGAGUGACAUUGUGCUUCGGUGGAUUCAUUUAUUCAGCCUCAGCUGUUCCCUCAAGUCAAGAUGUUAGUUUUGUUAAAAGAGCAAGAUUGCUCUUUAUAUUUCAGUCAAUUAGUAGAUCUGGAAAAAAAUAACUUGUAGCUGACAAUAUAGAUGCUACGAAUAGAAAUGUUUCAUAUACAGAACCAAUUUUCAUUGUCAAAGAAUCUCUUAAUAACCUAUCCCUAAUUGCUAUCCUCUGAUUCAGUCUGGCAAGUGUAGAUAUUUGGACAUCAAUUAAAGACAGGUUGAAGACUUCACCUAUCAAGUUCCAUGGCAAGUUUAAAAAAAAAGGAGUUAUUUCUUUCUUAUCAUAUCUGAGUAAGCAGUAAAUUUGAAUUGUUAUGAUUAUUUUUACAAGUAAAAUGGCUCAGUGUGCUCUUGUAAGUCUUUAUGUGGAGUACUUCAUCCACAAUAACAAUCUCCAUGCGGUUGCAUCCAGUAACUUCCAGUCAACAUGUAUAGUAAUAAAUUUCUUUCUUUUCUUGCUUUUAUAACCCGUUUGUUGCAAAAUUGGACUUGCAAAUAUUUGAGUAAAAUAUUGAAUUCUCAGAUCGUCAUGAAGUUAUACUUUCAUGUAUUUUUAUUUACUGUAAAACAUUGACUACUUCUUAUUUCACAAAGUCCAAUAGAAUCACAGAAUCAGACAAGUCAUCAAGUUUAUACAGGAUAUUUCAGAUACCCUAUUAAUAUGCCUAUUGAAGGCAACAAACUGGAGAUUAGAAAUAAAUCAUUAAACAGAAAUACAAAGUAUCAAUGUAAAACCCUUCAGGAUUUUAAUAUCCUUAAAUAAAUAUUCAUUUAAUGGGUGCAUAUUUAACUACAUUCUAGUCUUCGUUUUCAAUUUUAAGGAAAUGCAGCUUUAAAUGAAAUAUCAACAGAGCUUACUGCAAAUGUAAAAGGAACUAGUGAAAUACAGAUGUGGAAAACAUUAUAUUAAGUGUGGGGUAUUUGCAGUUACCGAAACCAAAUCUUAACUAUACCAUUUGUACCAUUGUCAUAAUGUUUCUGGAUUGUGGGAGAUUCUAGCAUACAGGAUAGUAUCUUUUGGCAUAUUGAAAACCCCUGAAUUUUUAACAUUUGUGUUGCACAGUUUCUUUAAAAGAGAAAGCUACUGUUGACUGGAAUAUUUUAAACAUAGUUUUGAUGACUAUUUCAUAAGAAUACAUUUAAAUGUGAAGAACUUGAAACAGUGCCAUCUUGUGACUAAAAAUAUAACCUACCAUCACUGUUCUACCACAACCCACAUCUGAGUAACUUCAUAAGUCCCUGCAGAAAGCAACCACUUUAUGUAGAUACUAGUUAACAACAAUAAUGGUCUGAUAGUAGAAAUCUCAAUAACAUUUAUUUAAGAACAUUGCAGUACCAUGAAAAACUGUCCUUGGAACACAUGCAGUUGCUCCUGUAUGUUUGCAAAUGUAAUUGAUAUACUGUAAAUCAUAUGGCAUGGCUGACAUGAAAAGUAACCAGAUAUUGAUUAACAUUUUUCCCUCCCACUUUUCAUCAGAAUGAAUGAUUCUAGAGAGUAUUUUCAAGACAGGAAUUUUAUUUUUGGUAUCAGAAAAUUGUUUGUUUAAAUAAAUGAUGGGAGAAAAUGCAUGAUUUUACAUUUCAUGGUAGAUUGUAUCAUCUGAGCCCCUUGGGAUGGUAUUUUAUAAUUACAGUAUCUGCCUUACAGGAAGUCAUUUCUCGUACAAUAUUUAUUUUACCAUAAGUUAUGCAUCUCAAGCUACCAUCAAUCACUUCCUAAACAUUUAAAGUAGAAUCCAAGAGUUAAAGUUUAGCUAUCUUAAUCUUGCUAUCUUGCUGGGAUUGAUUUUGACUAUAAUAACCCUUUAACAUUAAUCUGUAAUGCACGGAGUUGGAUUUGUCAUUUCAACUUCUCGUCAACUAUUCUGUAGGAUUUCUAUAACGUUUUUCUUUGGGCUCUCUACUCCUUUCAAUCUUAAGAAACUAUUGUUUCUUUUGCUUUAUACUCCUGCAUUAUUCAUUUAGAAUGUGGUUGGAACACUCAUGAAUGGAACACUGCAAUUGUCUCUUCCAAUGUUUAUAUACAACAUUUGCCAGCAUGAAGAGGGAGGCGGGAUAGAGUGAAGCUAUAGUCUGAGGUCUUUGCCAUUUGAUCUUCAAGGGAAAUAUCUAUGUGGAUUUAAUAAAAGAAAAUGCAUAGUGUGAAAGGAAACUCAUUGCAGUUUUUUUGAAGCUGUUAAAAAUUGCGAUUGUAGAUUUUUUUUGUGGGGAAGAACAGUCAGAUAUCAUAUCUUUUUUUCUUUUGAGAUGUAACAAAGUACUGAAUUAUCGAAGAACAUGGGCUGAGAGAAAGCAGCUUGGUGCCCACCUACAUGUAGGAGCUUAACCACCUGGAGAUGUUGCCUGAUCUGAUGAGUAUUCCCAGAUUUUAUCUUUCUGUUUCAAUUGGAGAAGUUGCUUUUGUAUAAAAGUAUAAAGAAUGGAGCAUUAGACAUUUAGGUUGUCAAGCUCAUAAUGAGUGCAAUCUACAUUGAUCAUGGAUGCUGCCCAGUCCAUACGCAGAGGACAAUAUGAUGGCAACGUAUUUAAUAUUUUUUGUGGACUUGUGCUUGAAGGAUUAUGGAUACGUGGAUUUUUAAAGAGAUUAAUAAAGGACUGUGGAACAUCCUUUUUACGAGAUUUUUAACUUGGAUAGCACAUUGAUCCAGGUAAUCAUCGGUCUUGAUUUUUUGGACUCACUUCAGAAAAAAAUCAUCUGGCAACUUUUGCAGCAGGGUUUCAUAACUUUCUGUCUGAAAAAUAUUUUGCAUACUCAGAGGUGGUUUUAGAUUUCAGUGGGUGAAAGGGCUCAGCCCAAGCCUCCUGCUUCUGAAGAACGUUAGUGCUAUAUCCUGAUUGUCCUCUUGGAGUGUGACUGGAAGAUUUCACAAUACUGUGUUUUCUGAUCAUGCUGUGUCUGCCUAGAUCCCAAAGUUAUUUGAUGAUGCUUGUGACACUGUCUACCAUAGUGCCAGACUUUCACCAACUAAGCGUUUCAUAUCUUAUCCUUUUUGCAUUCA
RNA transcript from Hemiscyllium ocellatum (epaulette shark), 7572 nucleotides. It is a transcript of the gene named RNA binding motif protein 27, with no coding region annotated. The record is from RefSeq and is a predicted model, not a curated record. The transcript has 24 exons. NCBI's taxonomy places the organism in Eukaryota, Metazoa, Chordata, Chondrichthyes, Orectolobiformes, Hemiscylliidae.